GCUUACUAGCUAUUCCGAUGAUAAUAUAGUUGUAGUUUGUCAUUGCAGAAUGUGGGAAUCCUUACAUCAUAGUCUCUAUUUGACCUCCUAGAGGUGACAACUAGAUCUUUGCUGUGGCAAAUGCGUUAAAUUGCAAUCUAAGACUACGUUAUCUCGCUGGUGGAUUGGUUUUUGGCCGGGAGCUUGAAUUGUUGCUUCAGUUGGACAUUCAAGUUUCUGGGGCCAAGAGAGCUACAAUGCUUGGAUGUCGACCGUGGCAGUGAAUCCAAUUGACUUGCAUGGGAGCAUAAGUUGAAACAUCAAACAGAAAGGAAAUUCUUUUUGUCUUGAAAUGCAAUAUUUUCAUGGAGUUCAGAGUAGCAGGGUCUUCAGUGAAAGACAGAGCGUCAACACUCUUCACAAUGUAUGCAACGCUCCUUCCUAAUAUGAGAAGAAAAAGGAUGUGUGGCGUGAACAGGUUGUUGCAUAACUGAGGGCAAUUCAGCACAUGAUUUAUAGAGCAGAAAAGAGCAGCUCUGCUCCAGCCAGCAAUAGGUUAAACAUCUGAUGGAUUCAUCACAAACCUUGCAUGGACCAUCCUUCAUAUGACAGU
This is a long non-coding RNA of Eucalyptus grandis, 592 nucleotides long. RefSeq lists it as uncharacterized. The transcript is spliced from 4 exons. NCBI's taxonomy places the organism in Eukaryota, Viridiplantae, Streptophyta, Magnoliopsida, Myrtales, Myrtaceae. The record is from RefSeq and is a predicted model, not a curated record.